AGAGCGAACGCUGGCGGCAGGCCUAACACAUGCAAGUCGAGCGCCCCGCAAGGGGAGCGGCAGACGGGAGAGUAACGCGUGGGAACGUACCUUUUGGUUCGGAACAACACAGGGAAACUUGUGCUAAUACCGGAUAAGCCCUUACGGGGAAAGAUUUAUCGCCGAAAGAUCGGCCCGCGUCUGAUUAGCUAGUUGGUGAGGUAAUGGCUCACCAAGGCGACGAUCAGUAGCUGGUCUGAGAGGAUGAUCAGCCACAUUGGGACUGAGACACGGCCCAAACUCCUACGGGAGGCAGCAGUGGGGAAUAUUGGACAAUGGGCGCAAGCCUGAUCCAGCCAUGCCGCGUGAGUGAUGAAGGCCCUAGGGUUGUAAAGCUCUUUUGUGCGGGAAGAUAAUGACGGUACCGCAAGAAUAAGCCCGGCUAACUCGUGCCAGCAGCCGC
This 442-nucleotide ribosomal RNA is filed under the name uncultured bacterium. RNAcentral describes it as "SSU rRNA". It matches the Rfam family "Bacterial small subunit ribosomal RNA", at positions 26 to 518 of the family's 1533-position model. The record is from RNAcentral.